Molecule: ribosomal RNA, 666 nt
Filed under: uncultured fungus
Lineage: Eukaryota; Fungi
Description: LSU rRNA
Rfam family: Eukaryotic large subunit ribosomal RNA
Source: RNAcentral
AACAACAGGGAUUGCCCUAGUAACGGCGAGUGAAGCGGCAACAGCUCAAAUUUGAAAUCUGGCGCAAGCCCGAGUUGUAAUUUGUAGAGGAUGCUUCGGCGUCGGCCCCGGUCUAAGUUCCUUGGAACAGGACGUCCUAGAGGGUGAGAACCCCGUCUUCGAUCGGGUCGCCGUCGCCAUGUGAAGCUCCUUCGACGAGUCGAGUUGUUUGGGAAUGCAGCUCUAAGCGGGAGGUAAAUUUCUUCUAAAGCUAAAUAACGGCCAGAGACCGAUAGCGCACAAGUAGAGAGAUCGAAAGAUGAAAAGCACUUUGGAAAGAGAGUUAAAAAGUACGUGAAAUUGUUGAAAGGGAAGCUCAAGCUGCCAGACUUGGCCGCGCCUCUUCGGUGGCGCGGGCAGGCCAGCAUCAGUUCGGGCCGCCUGAUAAAGACCUUUGGAAUGUAGCUCCCUCGGGAGUGUUAUAGCCUUGGGUGUAAUGGGGUGAGCCUGGACUGAGGAUCGCGUUCGCUAGGAUGCUGGCGUAAUGGCAGUUUGCGACCCGUCUUGAAACACGGACCAAGGAGUCUAACAUCUGUGCGAGUGUUUGGGUGUAAAACCCAUGCGCGUAAUGAAAGUGAACGGAGGUGGGAAGCGCAAGCUGCACCAUCGACCGAUCCUGAUGUCUUC